GGCUACGAAAGGAUCAUUGCCCUCCUACCUUUGACAUGUUUUCGCCCUUUUCAUUCGCACUUUACACGCGGUGUACACAUUCCCCAUUUAAGCAGAAAUGUUGUGAUAACUUCCUUGGGAUAUUGCUGCCUUAAGGAAUAUGAAAGGAGUAAGGAAUUGGCUGUUGCAGAGAGCGCGCCCAGCGGCAUUGAAACAUCUUAUACAUAAUUAAAAGGUACUGUCAAAAGUAAACAAAACAAUGCAUUAGAAUUCCAAAGCAUUCAAAACACACGGUGACUGUAAUAUAUAGACAUCAGCACUGGAGACGCCGUAAAAGGAGGCCUCGGAAACCAUGACAGCGUGAAUACAUAGAGAAUGUUCUUUAUCGAUGGAAAAAUAGAUCUCCUGCAAAAUAAUGAAAUAGGUUUGCAAUAUUUUUUGUAAUAAUGGCUUUAGCAGAAUGAGUGAUCUGGC
Molecule: non-coding RNA, 453 nt
Organism: Pelobates cultripes (western spadefoot toad)
Lineage: Eukaryota; Metazoa; Chordata; Amphibia; Anura; Pelobatidae
Source: the annotation of a GenBank genome assembly